RNAcentral lists this ribosomal RNA (175 nucleotides) under uncultured bacterium. RNAcentral's name for it is "partial 16S ribosomal RNA". It matches the Rfam family "Bacterial small subunit ribosomal RNA", at positions 1318 to 1500 of the family's 1533-position model. The record is from RNAcentral.
CCAUGAAGCUGGAUUCGCUAGUAAUCGCGCAUCAGCCACGGCGCGGUGAAUACGUUCCCGGGCCUUGUACACACCGCCCGUCAAGCCAUGGGAGCCGGGGGCGCCUGAAGUCCGGGACCGCGAGGACCGGCCUAGGGCGAAACUGGUGACUGGGGCUAAGUCGUAACAAGGUAUC